This is a long non-coding RNA of Onychostoma macrolepis, 1413 nucleotides long. RefSeq lists it as uncharacterized. The record is from RefSeq and is a predicted model, not a curated record. NCBI's taxonomy places the organism in Eukaryota, Metazoa, Chordata, Actinopteri, Cypriniformes, Cyprinidae. The transcript has 2 exons.
GUAAACAAUGGGUUUUAAUGCUUUUGAGGCAAUUUGGGGAGUUGACUGAGGAAUAUUUAUAGGGAGAUUAACAGUGUGUUUUAGAGAGAAAAAAUGAACAAUAAAAACAACAACGUGAGAUUCAUUUGUCUAUAGCAGUCGAGCACAUUUAUGAUGUCAAAAUAUCUCUUUUCUUUCCACACAGAGAAAGAAAGUCAUACAGGUUUAGAAGGACAUGAGGAUACACAAAAACUCACAGCGGUCUGGAAGAGAAGACACAUGAAGAAAAAAACAGCCCUCAUGAUUCCUCUCUGUUCUUCUCUUCGUCCUUUUCCCGACUCAGUCUGAUAGACAAAUGAUUAACCGCUGUCAACAGAUAUCUGACAUCAAACUGAAUCAGACAGAAGGGAGAAGAAAAACACGAGAGGGAGGAGAAACACAGCAGCUUCUGCCCGGAAGGGUCAGAGCGGUUGGUACUGCGUCAAUAUCAGAGUUUUGCGUUAGUUGAUAAAAACUGUUUAUUCAGUCAAUAAAAACAAGGUUACAGAAAGAAAACUACUAACAUGAGCCAAACCAACAAAAAAUGUUGUCAUGGAAAACAGAAGCCAGCAAGUGCAUGAGAAGAACUUUCUCAACCCUAAAAAAUCACCACUUCGACCUGUUCUUUUUGUGAAUUAAACGUAGUAGUCAAUGAACCAAGAGUGCAUGCUUGAAAUUGUCCAGAUACCCUUGAAAUUUGAUGCAGUUUCACUUGCCGCCUGCAGAAAAAAACUCUCCGAAACUUAUAUGAACCUGGAAGGAGUGUGUUUGGGACAGAAAUACUCUGUCAUACGUCCAAAUCGCUUUUUGAAACUUUGGCCAUGUUUAACAAAUCCAACUCUUUAACAGUGUAAAUAACUCAGAAUGCAUGAAAUAGCGUUAUGACCAAACAUUCUCCCAGUAACAUUAAUAGAACAUUGUUUAAAGUUAGUUGGUCUUUAAUAAUGUUCUCUAAAUGUUGGAUGUUCGUUUAAUUUGCUUUAAAGGUUGCUACUUGUUUCAGAACGUUCAACUUUCAAAAGUAACGUUCACGUAAUGUUUGCAAAAUGGUAAAAUAGAACUUUCCCUUAUUUUCACUGUUUCCUCAACAUUCAAAAUAACCAAGAAAAUAUGUUUUUAAAACAUUUUGAAAAAUUGGCUGUUUUGAACUUUCUGCAAACAUUUAGAAAUGAGAUUUUAAUGGGAAAACAUUCUUUGUUAGAACAUUUUUUAUUAGCUGGGUAGAAACGUUAAAUGACUACUAAACUACAUUUGGCUUGAAGUGUUUUUUUUUUUAUUUAAUCUGUGAUGGCAGGAUACAAAAACUCUUGUUUGCAUUUGCAAGGUAAAUGUACAGAAUCCAGCUUUUGCAAAUCUAAUCUUAAUGGCGUUUAUAUGUGGUUUAAAAUCUGAUUU